Molecule: ribosomal RNA, 121 nt
Filed under: Prolemur simus (greater bamboo lemur)
Lineage: Eukaryota; Metazoa; Chordata; Mammalia; Primates; Lemuridae
Source: RNAcentral
GUCUGUGGCCAUUACCACCCUGAACGUGCCCAGUCUUGUCCGAUCUCAGAAGCUAAGCAAGGGUCAGGGCUGGUUGGCACUUGGAUGGGAGACCACCUGAGAAUACUGGGUGCUGCCACCU